GUGCCAGCCGCCGCGGUAAUACCGGCAGCUCGUGUGAUGGCCACUCUUAUUGGGCCUAAAGCGUCCGUAGCUGGCCGCGCAAGUCCAUCGGAAAAUCCACCCGCCCAACGGGUGGGCGUCCGGUGGAAACUGCGUGGCUUGGGACCGGAAGGCGCGACGGGUACGUCCGGGGUAGGAGUGAAAUCCCAUAAUCCCGCACGGACCACCGAUGGCGAAAGCACUUCGAGAAAACGGAUCCGACAGUGAGGGACGAAAGCCAGGGUCUCCAACCGGAUUAGAUACCCCGGUAGUCC
This 293-nucleotide ribosomal RNA is filed under the name uncultured bacterium. Its description in RNAcentral is "partial 16S ribosomal RNA". It matches the Rfam family "Archaeal small subunit ribosomal RNA", at positions 455 to 747 of the family's 1478-position model. The record is from RNAcentral.